GAUGAAGAACGUAGCGAAAUGCGAUAAGUAAUGUGAAUUGCAGAAUUCAGUGAAUCAUCGAAUCUUUGAACGCACAUUGCGCCCGCCAGUAUUCUGGCGGGCAUGCCUGUUCGAGCGUCAUUUCAACCAUCAAGCCCCGGGCUUGUGUUGGGGACCUGCGGCUGCCGCAGGCCCUGAAAUGCAGUGGCGGGCUCGCUGUCACUCCGAGCGUAGUAGUUACAUCUCGCUCUGGGCGUGCUGCGGGUUCCGGCCGUUAAAAGCCUUAUUUACCCAAGGUUGACCUCGGAUCAGGUAGGAAGACCCGCUGAACUUAAGCAUAUCAAUAAGCGGGGA
This 333-nucleotide unclassified non-coding RNA is filed under the name soil metagenome. RNAcentral's name for it is "partial contains 5.8S ribosomal RNA, internal transcribed spacer 2, and large subunit ribosomal RNA". The stretch from base 1 to 120 matches the Rfam family "5.8S ribosomal RNA", at positions 35 to 154 of the family's 154-position model. The record is from RNAcentral.